UUGCUUUGGGAGCACAUACACUAAAAUUGGAAAGAUACAGAGGAGAUCAUCAUGGUCCCUGUUCAAAGAUGAUGCAUAAUUUUGCAAAACAUUCCAUAUUAAA
Molecule: small nuclear RNA, 103 nt
Organism: Gracilinanus agilis (Agile Gracile Mouse Opossum)
Lineage: Eukaryota; Metazoa; Chordata; Mammalia; Didelphimorphia; Didelphidae
Source: RefSeq, a predicted model, not a curated record